AGAGGAAUAGCCAAGUGGUAAGGCAUGGGGUUUUGAUCCCCACAUUCGAAGGUUCGAUCCCUUCUUCCUCUUCCA
Molecule: transfer RNA, 75 nt
Filed under: Pseudomonas phage Zuri
Lineage: Duplodnaviria; Heunggongvirae; Uroviricota; Caudoviricetes; Schitoviridae
Also listed under: 1 other name
Description: tRNA-Gln
Rfam family: tRNA
About the family: Transfer RNA (tRNA) molecules are approximately 80 nucleotides in length. Their secondary structure includes four short double-helical elements and three loops (D, anti-codon, and T loops).
Source: RNAcentral